This 1258-nucleotide ribosomal RNA is filed under the name Paragyrodon sphaerosporus. RNAcentral's name for it is "eukaryotic LSU rRNA". The stretch from base 722 to 1258 matches the Rfam family "Eukaryotic large subunit ribosomal RNA", at positions 1 to 529 of the family's 3401-position model. Lineage: Eukaryota; Fungi; Basidiomycota; Agaricomycetes; Boletales; Gyrodontaceae. The record is from RNAcentral.
GGAAGUAAAAGUCGUAACAAGGUUUCCGUAGGUGAACCUGCGGAAGGAUCAUUAUCGAACAGCAAUCCGAAGGGGGAGAGGGGCGAGCGAAGUCGGGUGGAGCGUAGAGAUCGUAGCUGGCCUUUGGAAACGAAGGCAUGUGCACGUCUAGACCUCUUCCCAGUCCUCGCUCCCUUUCCUUUCGUGAACCUUCGACACCCGUGCACCUCUUGUAGGUCCCCUCUAGGGGGGAUCUAUGUCUUCGUCUACCCCAAUCGUAUGUCUACGAAUGUAUCUAUGACGUCGUCGACCUGGCUGACGCCUCGUGGGCGAUGGAUAAAAGUUAUUACAACUUUCAGCAACGGAUCUCUUGGCUCUCGCAUCGAUGAAGAACGCAGCGAAUUGCGAUAAGUAAUGUGAAUUGCAGAUUUUCAGUGAAUCAUCGAAUCUUUGAACGCACCUUGCGCUCCUUGGUAUUCCGAGGAGCAUGCCUGUUUGAGUGUCAUUUAGUUCUCAACCGUGACUCGAUCGAUUUCGAGGCCCAUGGCUUGGAUUUUGGGGGCUGCUGGCGACCGUAGGGUCUUCGGCUCUCCUUAAAGGCAUUAGCAAAGGCAGGCCAUCCCUGCAUGCACGGCCCUCGACGUGAUAACGAUCGUCGUGGCUGGAGUGCUGGGGCGUGGUCUCACAGUCUAUGCUUCCAAUAUCGCGACUUUCGCUACGGCGGAAGUCCCUCUUCGAAACUUGACCUCAAAUCAGGUAGGACUACCCGCUGAACUUAAGCAUAUCAAUAAGCGGAGGAAAAGAAACUAACAAGGAUUCCCCUAGUAACUGCGAGUGAAGAGGGAACAGCUCAAAUUUCGAAUCUGGCGGUCUCCCGGCCCGUCCCGAGUUGUAAUCUAGAGAAGCGUCUUCCGCGCUGGACCGUGUACAAGUCUCCUGGAAGGGAGCGUCGCAGAGGGUGAGAAUCCCGUCUUUGACACGGACUANCAGCGCUAUGUGAUGCGCUCUCGACGAGUCGAGUUGUUUGGGAAUGCAGCUCUAAUUGGGUGGUAAACUCCAUCUAAAGCUAAAUACAGGCGAGAGACCGAUAGCGAACAAGUACCGUGAGGAAAGAUGAAAAGAACUUUGGAAAGAGAGUUAAACAGUACGUGAAAUUGCUGAAAGGGAAACGCUUGAUGUCAGUCGCGUCGUCCGGGGAUCAACCUUGCCUUUUCGCUCGGNNUAUUUCCUGUCGACGGGUCAGCAUCAGUUUCGAUCGCGUACAAGGCGAGGAACGUGC